This 270-nucleotide ribosomal RNA is filed under the name uncultured bacterium. Its description in RNAcentral is "partial 16S ribosomal RNA". It matches the Rfam family "Bacterial small subunit ribosomal RNA", at positions 28 to 301 of the family's 1533-position model. The record is from RNAcentral.
AACGAACGCUGGCGGCGUGCUUAACACAUGCAAGUCGAGCGGUAAGGCCCCUUCGGGGGUACACGAGCGGCGAACGGUGAGUAACACGUGGGUGACCUGCCCUCAGCUCUGGGAUAAGCCUGGGAAACUGGGUCUAAUACCGGAUAUGACUCCAUGACGCAUGUCGUGGGUGAAAGCCUUGUGCGGCUGGGGAUGGGCCCGCGGCCUAUCCAGCUUGUUGGUGGGGUGAUGGCCUACCAAGGCGACGACGGGUAGCCGGCCUGAGAGGGC